AACUCAAGGAUUACAUUUUUGCCCUGAGUACCUUGCCUUGCUAUAAAAUCGACGUCUCCCAACUCUUUUUCAUCUCGAGAAGCCUCCAUCAAGGUCAACACCCACCGUUCGCCGAUAUCAGGCUUAUCCAUCGCAAUCAACAUCGGCAGAACCUUGAUUCUGUUUGCUCUGCAAUUUCACAUCUAGGUGGUUAAUUACAGCAACUUCAAGGAAGUGCCUUCUCGUUGAUUGAUCAAACAAAAAGGAGACAACUUUGUGUCUUUGUUUGUUUGGCUAUUGUUAAUCAGACACAUUGCUGUCUAGGUUAAUCAGCUUCUGUUGUGUUUCUUGGACUGUUUGGAUUUGGUCAGAGGAACUUUGUGAUAACCAAGUUAUAAUUUGAAAACAGGUAUACAGAAUUUGCUGGGCCAGUUCCUACUAGACCUGCACAGGACUUGGCAUUUUCAGUUGCAAGGUUUAUACAAAAUGGUGGUUCUUUUGCCAACUACUACAUGGUACUUGUUCUCCUCCUUUAUAUCAAACAGCUAAUUUUAUCUUUACUGAUGUUCGUAAAAUUAUCUUAUUUAACCAUCUUUUACUCUGAUUUUGUUACAAUACCAUGGAGGAACAAAUUUUGGCCGAACUGCUGGCGGUCCCUUCAUUAUAACUAGCUAUGACUAUGAUGCAUCUCUAGAUGAAUGUGGUAUGCAAAUAGGGGAUUAGCAUCUUGACCAGGACUACCAAGAGAACCAAAAUAUAGCCAUUUGAAAUAUCUGCACAAAGCCAUCAAAUUAGCUGAGCCAGCUUUAGUGGCUACUGAUGAGCUAAUAAAAUUUAUCUAUGAUAGAAGCCUCCAGAACUCUUUCCUUCCUCCUGCUUCCUAAACCGCCUCCUUCACUCUCUCAGACGACUGGCUCCUCAACUGCGGCUCUUCCUCCAACGCCACCUUCUUCAGCCGUUUCUUCAUUGGAGAUUUCAAUUUCAGGUCGGGUGUUGUCUCCACAGGCUGGCCUAUUUCAGUCAGGAACAACAAAAUCCUACCUUCAAACUCACUCUUCUUACCACACAGCAAGAGUGUUCACAACUGCUUCAACCCUUCAAGCUAUAGUUUAAGCAUCAAGAAAAUCGGAACUCACUUGGUUUGAUGCGAAAAAGUGUGCAACUGAUUGUUUCGGCGCUGUUCCUUUGUCUGUUGAAGCUCCCACAGUUAGAAUCUGUUCCUCAGUUGACAGUACAAACUUCUGUGGAAAAUAGUUUCUCUUAUGCAGAUUCUAUUUGUUCCCCGAUUUCAUAUCUGGAUAAGUCACUGCUGCUAUUUCAAGUUUCCAGAGAUGAUCAGACGCACAUUAAUAUGUGAAAUAAGAGCUUUUCAAAUCAAGAUUCGUGUUUUCAGAAUCUGGGGACCAAGGAAGUACAACAAUGAGAUGUACAAUGGUCUCCAUUAUGUGUUAGUUGAUAAAGAGGGAAAUACGAUUCAUGCUAUAAUUGAUGAAUCUGAUUAUCCUUAUGUGUUGUCAUGAUGGAACAAGGACAGAUCUAUGACAUCACCCAUUUCUCCAAACGGAGACACGUAUCCAAAUACAAAGUUGUAGAUCAUGAUGCUCAGCUGUAUUUCAAAGAGUCAACGAAAUUCGAACCAGUGGAACAUACGUUGCCUCCAAUUCCGCAGUAUGCAUUUCAUCUUCUUGAUUUUAAUUAAAAGACCGAAGCUGAAAAAGCAUCAAGUAUUAUGCGGAUCAUCCUGAAGAAAUCAACAAAGCUUCCAAAAACGAAGGCUCAAUUAUCCGGGUCUUAGGAUCCAAAAUUAGAAUGUUGUAUAACAUUUGGAACUUAGUAACUCAAGUUACAACCAGAUUCUGCAUGCUUCUCAAAAAUGUUCCACCACCAACUGUAACAAACUGCAAUAAUGAAAACUCCCAUUUCAAAUUUAUGGAAAACAAUUAUCGUUACAAUUUUCACGAAGCGCGGGCACUAUUGCCAGUGCAUAUAAAAGCAUCGUUUGAGUAAAUACUAGAUGACCAUUCGUAUUCAAACUUGGCACGUAAUUGAAAAUUCUGGAGAGUUCAGUUUUGGCCAUGUAGGACUGUAUGUGCCACAAGUACAUGCAUCGAGCCAACUCAAAUGCAUGAUUUCUUGAAGAGAUUUAUCAUCUAUGGCUCCAGCACCAUGACCAAUAAUUCACCAUUCGUAU
Molecule: long non-coding RNA, 2170 nt
Organism: Rosa chinensis
Lineage: Eukaryota; Viridiplantae; Streptophyta; Magnoliopsida; Rosales; Rosaceae
Exons: 13
Source: RefSeq, a predicted model, not a curated record